RNAcentral lists this transfer RNA (71 nucleotides) under Marmota monax (woodchuck). RNAcentral's name for it is "tRNA.Gly". It matches the Rfam family "tRNA". From Rfam's summary of the family: Transfer RNA (tRNA) molecules are approximately 80 nucleotides in length. Their secondary structure includes four short double-helical elements and three loops (D, anti-codon, and T loops). Lineage: Eukaryota; Metazoa; Chordata; Mammalia; Rodentia; Sciuridae. The record is from RNAcentral.
GGGGCUGUGGCUCAGAGGUAGAGUGCUUGCCUACCAUGCAUGAGGCACUGGGUUUGUUCCCCAGCACCACA